GUACGUGGGAAAACAUGCGCCGUGAGAGCAGCACAAUGACGGCAUUUCACUGUACUUGCACUUGCCAGGCAUUCCAGCGCGCCCUGCCUACGAGGCUAACAAAUGGGCUUCAACAGGAGAUAGCACAGGCUCGGGAAAGCUCUCCUACCCCACCCCCUUUUGUGCUUACACAAAACGGUCAAUUAUGUCCUUCUGAAACAGAGGCCAGGUCUGUUCUCAAAUACCAUGCUUUGGAGGAGGUAUGAUUACUUAAGCGAGUUCAGGUGGCCUAGAGAAAGGCAAAAAGGCAAAACAGUACCUUUACAGACUGCAAAACAUCGCUAAAAGCAUGAACAAUCAUCUCUGAAGGAAGCUGACUACCCAGAGGCCAGCACACUCUUCUCCCUUUCCAGAGAGCUUCCAUUUUAUUUGGGUGUCUACCCUGACCUCACAUGACUCAGGAUUAAAUUCUGAAUCAUCCAAGCCAGUCAUCGAAAUUCCAGUUCCCUUGCCAGCUCUUGGUUUUAGGAAGAGACGAAUGACUCAAUCCUGGUGAAUAAAAUGAGAGAGGAAUUUAUCUGAGGUUUUCUAGGAAGGGCUUCCCUGCUGAUUAAACAUACACACACCCUCUUGAACAUCAUUGUAUCUGCCUAUGAUAACUGAAACCGUGACAGCCUCCUUGGGACCUCAAGGGGAACUGGCCAGGGGUAAGGAGAGGAUGCAGUGCACACAGAUGGAAAAGCCUGUGAUUCCGAAGACAUCAUUGAGCUACUGAAGAAAGCAACCCUGGAUUCCUCCUGCCUCAGAAGAUCUUAUUAUGGGACAUAAUUUUCCUUAAUUGUUUAAUCAAUUUUGCAAUGGAUUUCCUAUUACUUGCAGCACUCAAAUGGAUUUUUAUUAGUUCUAUAUACACAAAUCUUACUAAUUUUUUUCAUGAAAUAUCUAGAGACUAUCUAUGUGAAUGGUGAGCAUUUCUUAUAAUAAAACUGACUAUACCAUGCACAUUUAUGCUAGGAAAAUUGCAAGCCAAAAUAAAGAAAAUGUAAUUUAUUUGUUAUCUACUUAGAUUUUCCUUUCAGGAGAGAUGAAUAUGUGGAUUCACCUGGUUGCAAAAUUUUGUCAAGAUGGG
Molecule: long non-coding RNA, 1108 nt
Filed under: Homo sapiens (human)
Lineage: Eukaryota; Metazoa; Chordata; Mammalia; Primates; Hominidae
Description: HSALNT0080103
Source: RNAcentral